Bactrocera neohumeralis is the source of this 813-nucleotide long non-coding RNA. RefSeq lists it as uncharacterized. The transcript is spliced from 2 exons. The record is from RefSeq and is a predicted model, not a curated record. NCBI's taxonomy places the organism in Eukaryota, Metazoa, Arthropoda, Insecta, Diptera, Tephritidae.
AUAUUUGUUGCUGGUGAGUUGCCAUUUAAGCAAAAGCAAAUAAUUAGCUUUGAUGCUGUGAGUACUUGCUGGCGGGUAUUUAUUAUGAAUCACUGUUAGCGUUGUUGUUGUUGUUUUUGCAUCCAUCAAAUUACAUGAGAGUUACAUUAAUUUUUAAUUACUUCAAACGAAUCUAACGAAAGCGCACUUCAUUAAUCACGCAUUCAUGCAAAUACUAGGAAGUGUUCCCAUGUGCGAUGACAUAAGACCGGCCGCAGUGAGACUAAACAAAUAAUGCUUGCUGCAGAUAUGGAAAUGAUUUAUUCGCAAAAUUAAGUGGAAUGACUUUUAUGGAAUUUCGGUGAAACAAUUAAAGACUGGUUAGUGUAAAUAAACAAAAACAAAACGGAUUGUGGGCAUUAUUUCAACCAUAUGUAUAUUAAAAAAAAAUACGUCAGAUCUGGCAACAUCAGUUUAUUUGCUGUAUAUAAAGAAAAGCGCACAUUAACAGAAAAUCUGCCAACACAAUGCCGAAUAAGAAACUAUAAAAAGUUCGUUCCAAGCUAUUGAACAACACCUAGACUGCGUUAGCGAGCGAAAUGUGUUUCAUUUUUUUAGGUUUUUUAUUGGUAAAGUACCAGGCAGAGCUCGCAAUGCCCUUACAUUGUCAAUAAAAUAAUAAUCGACGUUAACUAUUUGGCCUCAUGGCAUUCUGCUAACGACUGACUGCGACCUUUGGUCUUUUGGCUCUAAAUCUUACAACGGCCAAUCUAAUUCAGCUGUCCAUAAGCUCAGUCGGCUUAAACCUUGUUUACGAGUUCAUAAUUACAAUAA